Molecule: ribosomal RNA, 253 nt
Filed under: uncultured bacterium
Lineage: Bacteria
Description: partial 16S ribosomal RNA
Rfam family: Bacterial small subunit ribosomal RNA
Source: RNAcentral
UACAUGGGGUGCAAACGUUGCUCGGAAUUAUUGGGCGUAAAGCGCACGUAGGCGGUUUGUUAAGUCGGAUGUGAAAUCCCUCGGCUCAACUGAGGAAGUGCAUCCGAAACUGGCAAGCUUGAGUACGAAAGAGGGUCGCGGAAUUCCCGGUGUAGAGGUGAAAUUCGUAGAUAUCGGGAGGAACACCGGUGGCGAAGGCAGCGACCUGGGUCGAUACUGACGCUGAGGUGCGAAAGCGUGGGGAGCAAACAGG